AAAAUGUUCUUCUCUGGUUCUUUUAAGGUGAUACCAGCAAGGACGAGACCACCAGCGGGCCGGAUUCAGUAGAUUCUGGUGAAGGCGUGGUGGAGAAGAAGGACCCAGAUACACCAGACGAGACAGAAACAGGAAGUGAUUCUCCAGACACAGACUCUGCUUCUAAAGCAUCUCAGGAAACAGACUCUCCAGAUGGAGCAGAGAAGGACGCUGAUGAUAAGACUGAUACGGAUAAAGAUUCUUCCAGUAAGGAGCAGUCAGACACCGACUCAGCGGAUCAGAAGGAUUCCUCAGAGGACACAUCGGAUACACCUGAUGCUGCAGACAAAGAAACUUUUGACUCAAACGAGUCAGACAAGGACAAGACAGAUACCAGCAAUGACACGGAGAAGGACAGUAAGGAGAAGGACAGUAAGGAGAAGGACAGAGACGUGGAGGAUUCAGACACUCCCGACAAAGAAGUAAAGGACACUGAUAAAGACAGCAGCGAGACUGAAGACACUGACGAGAAGGAGAAGAGUGAUAAAUCAGGUGCAGACAAAACAGAUCCUGAUCGCUCUUCAGAAAAAGGAGACAGCAAAUGCAGACAGCGAUGCAGACAGUGGCGUAGACAGCACAGGUCCAAAAGGCGAGGAUGAAGGUUUAGACAAGGACAAGGACAGCUCACACAAGACCAGCGACGACACCAGCAACGACAGCAAUGAGGGAAAAGAGAUCGAGAGGGAAACCACGACUGAAAACGAAGACAAAGACUCUGAGAAAUCUAAAGAGACCGCCGAAGAACCGUCUUCUGUAGACUCCCAGGAAAGCCAAAAGACCGCCUCCUCCAGCUCAGACUCCUCCCACUCCUCAAGCAAAGAAAACAACCAGGACCAGGAGAAGAGCAGCGCCGAGUCCACUGAUAAAGACAGCUCAGACAGUUCGGACCGGGACAGCACCGAGACCGAGGGAGAGGUUGCAGAUGACAGUGACAGCAGCCCAGAGACGGAGACGUCAGAUGAAAACGACAACAGCGACUCGAUGGACGCAACAGAGUCGACGUCACAUGAUGAGACCACUGAUGAAGAGACGGACACAGACACUACUGACGAUGCAGGCGACACAGUGCAGGAAGACCCUCCAGUCAGUCCCAUCGACGUCCCGGACCAGUCAGGUCAUAUAGACAACACAACACAAGUGCCUGAUGGGAUACCCCCCCCCGGUCAGGUCUUAGCAUCCAGGAUAUAAUAACAUGCAGCAGUUUAACAGGGUCAUCCGACACAACAACAGAAGCAACUCAAGUGGCCAUAAUAACCCGUCGCAUUCUGAUUCCCGUUAACACACGACACGUUUAAAUGCCAUCUCUCUCUCUCUCUCUCUCUCUCUCUCUCACAUGGUGAAGGGUUCUAUCUAGAGGGUUCUGGGAUGCACGUUAAAUUAUUCAGCUGUUUUUGGUGUACAUUCUGUUUCUCCCAUAUUUGAUAAACUAAUUUCUUUUUCAUGUAACUUAUGAAGAGGAUCUCAGAGGUCACGUUGGCUCUUUAGUAGUUAGUGUUAAACAAUUAAAGGUCAGUGGAGAGUGAUGGUGAUUCACGGUUUCGAGUCUUUUCUGCUUUUCGUUUGUUUGCUGCUGUCUGUGGCCCUGGUGGUAAGACAUCCUGUACAACUCCUACACUGACAAUGUUCUCCUGACUCAGCUAAACGUCCGGUGGUUCACAU
Molecule: long non-coding RNA, 1698 nt
Filed under: Astyanax mexicanus (Mexican tetra)
Lineage: Eukaryota; Metazoa; Chordata; Actinopteri; Characiformes; Acestrorhamphidae
Description: lncRNA (ENSAMXG00005012088.1)
Source: RNAcentral